GCUGUCGUCAGCUCGUGCCGUAAGGUGUUGGGUUAAGUCUCGCAACGAGCGCAACCCUCGUGUUUAGUUGCCACUAUGAGUUUGGAACCCUGAACAGACCGCCGGUGUUAAGCCGGAGGAAGGAGAGGAUGAGGCCAAGUC
This 141-nucleotide ribosomal RNA is filed under the name Triticum aestivum (bread wheat). RNAcentral's name for it is "rRNA SSU_rRNA_eukarya". It matches the Rfam family "Bacterial small subunit ribosomal RNA", at positions 1048 to 1191 of the family's 1533-position model. The record is from RNAcentral. Lineage: Eukaryota; Viridiplantae; Streptophyta; Magnoliopsida; Poales; Poaceae.